AAUAUUAUGAUGACGUUAAUGCACUUGGUUAACGAAGUGCAAACUACUACCUAGGCAUGGAUAGGAAGGGCACUGGAGUGAAAGGAAAGGAAAGUAUUUCUUACAUGUGAGGCGUUAUCUGUUAAUACACUUGGGUUCCUUACAACCACCAAAUAACUAAAACAAGCGCCCAC
This is a long non-coding RNA of Populus euphratica (Euphrates poplar), 173 nucleotides long. RefSeq lists it as uncharacterized. NCBI's taxonomy places the organism in Eukaryota, Viridiplantae, Streptophyta, Magnoliopsida, Malpighiales, Salicaceae. The transcript is spliced from 3 exons. The record is from RefSeq and is a predicted model, not a curated record.